RNAcentral lists this ribosomal RNA (307 nucleotides) under uncultured bacterium. RNAcentral's name for it is "partial 16S ribosomal RNA". It matches the Rfam family "Bacterial small subunit ribosomal RNA", at positions 506 to 807 of the family's 1533-position model. The record is from RNAcentral.
AGACAGCAGUCGCCACGGUAAUACGGAGGGUGCAAGCGUUAAUCGGAAUUACUGGGCGUAAAGCGCACGCAGGCGGUCUGACAAGUCAGAUGUGAAAUCCCCGGGCUUAACCUGGGAACUGCAUUUGAAACUGUCAGGCUGGAGUCUUGUAGAGGGGGGUGGAAUUCCAGGUGUAGCGGUGAAAUGCGUAGAGAUCUGGAGGAAUACCGGUGGCGAAGGCGGCCCCCUGGACAAAGACUGACGCUCAGGUGCGAAAGCGUGGGGAGCAAACAGGAUUAGAUACCCCUGUAGUCCCUGUCUCUUAUAC